GCUAAGCUGUGACCUAUAGUAAGGCAUAAUUUGAUUGACAGUUUAAAAAUUCCUUUAAUCCAGGGGAAGAUGUUUUUUUUUUUUUCUUUUUUACCAUUGACAUAAUCAGGAAAUUAAAUCAUUGAUCUUAGCGCCAAAGAUAACAAGUUAGUCAUCGAUUGAGAGGAACUUCAAAUUAGACGUAUAAUUUAUUCAACAGAUUUGGACAAUUAAAGUAUUCACAGACAGUCGAUUUGGGGCCUUAAUUGAAUAAAUACAAUAGCUUUAGGACUAAACAAUGACGUUGUGCAGAAACGAUAUUUGUUUGCAGCCCGUGUACAAUUAUGUAGAGACAGACUGCGUAUUUCUACAUUCCAUUAUUUCCAAUUUUCCUUUAGUCCUGUAUACCUGGUUGGCACAUACUGCUACUGAGCGAUUUUAUUUGUACUUCGAUAGCUCAUUCUCAAUUUUCGGGAAUAUUUGAAUAUACAAUUACAAAGUUGCAUUUGGUAGGUCGAACCAUAGAUUUUGAGUAGAUCAGCAUUACCACAAUUGAUGAUAUCAAUUAUUUUCCUUUCAAUGUGUCCUUUAAGGUAGAGACCGAUAGCAACCACGUGAUCAGUAAAAAUCGUGUAUUUUCACGUGAAAUUAUUUUUCGGAAUUCCGUACAUCGCCAUAGAGUAGUUGAAAAACAAAAGGGGGUUCCGAAAGUACAAGUUGCUGUGACUGAAUCGAUGAUUGAGAGGGUCGUCUCGACGAAAGAUAUAGAAAUUUGGCCAUAGUUUAGAUUAGGAAUACGUCAAUGUAAUAAUAGUGGACUACAUGUUUCGUCCGUGCAGAAUGGCACUUUUUACCUCACGAAAUUCACCACCAUGCAUAGCUGCGCUACGUAAACAAAGUUGUUGAUGUAGCGUGAUCGUGGUGUCCGAGUGCUGCGAGUUUCAAUACUGUUUAUGUAGUCAUUGAGAGUUUAAACAAAGUUUCUUCUGAGAAGAGGAAUUCGAUGGAUGCAUUCAACGUGGACAACGAAAUCAUAAUUUCGUUUGCUUCAUCCUAAGGACCAGUGCAAGUUGAAAUGGGCUUCCAGCCAACAACUUCAACAGCAAUUUGCCAUGAAAAUCAGCAAGAAAGGUACUUCAUUUACAUUGAUGAUGUCAUAUCCCCUGGACCCCACAACUUCACAGGUUACAGAGAAAAUUCAAGAACUUCUGCAAAAUGUGGGACUUGGAUAGAAUCAAUAAUGUAUUUGUGAGCCCAGAGCAAUGGAUAUAUUGUGCAACAUACUAAAGUGUGAAUUUAAUGGAAAACAAGUACAUGUACUCAUGUAUUACAUGUCUUUUUUAAAGACAAUAAUAUUGUAUAAAUAUAGAGGAAGUGUCAUUGUUGAUUAUUCUAAGUUUUUGAUAUAUCAAAAUCAGUAAACAUUUCUAAAUGAAAAUAAAAUACCAAUUUUAUAACUUUAA
Ostrea edulis (European flat oyster) is the source of this 1442-nucleotide long non-coding RNA. RefSeq lists it as uncharacterized. The record is from RefSeq and is a predicted model, not a curated record. Lineage: Eukaryota; Metazoa; Mollusca; Bivalvia; Ostreida; Ostreidae. The transcript has 3 exons.